Molecule: small nucleolar RNA, 119 nt
Filed under: Erinaceus europaeus (western European hedgehog)
Lineage: Eukaryota; Metazoa; Chordata; Mammalia; Eulipotyphla; Erinaceidae
Description: Small nucleolar RNA SNORA70 (ENSEEUG00000023554.1)
Rfam family: Small nucleolar RNA SNORA70
About the family: snoRNA U70 seems to be exclusive to mammals and is a member of the H/ACA class of snoRNA which contain H (ANANNA) and ACA box motifs. H/ACA box snoRNAs are involved in the conversion of uridines to pseudouridines (5-ribosyluracil) a constituent of structural RNAs (transfer, ribosomal, small nuclear, and small nucleolar).
Source: RNAcentral
CUGCAGCCAAUGGAGCCGACCGUGCUGGCCUCCUCCCCAUGGCACCCGGUGUGCAGCCUCCUGGGUAGUGUGCAGCCUGUUGCUUGUACAGGCUGCCCUAAGGGGCCCUGGAGACAGCC